UAAUCUCAAAGUGUGUAGCGCUCUGCUAUUGUGAAGACUUCUAGCAAUGUUUACCAGGGAGAGAUGGUCAGCUCUUUAAGGCAGGAAGACUUCUACCAACUCGUACUCAGUUGGCAAGCCCCCUCUUGAAGGCAAAGGAUGCAACUUGGUUCAUCGGACUUCUUGUGCAGGUUGAACAGGGGGUUCUUCUUGAUCGUUCGAUAAGAAGUGUAUUCUUUGGUGUAUACGUAAGCUAGCUCUUUAAAGCUAUUGAUCGACCCUGAUAGUAGGGUGUGAAACCAAUCCUGGGCUACUCCUCGUGAAGUCAUGACAAAU
This 315-nucleotide long non-coding RNA is filed under the name Prunus persica (peach). Its description in RNAcentral is "long non-coding RNA (PPER_LNC004952)". Lineage: Eukaryota; Viridiplantae; Streptophyta; Magnoliopsida; Rosales; Rosaceae. The record is from RNAcentral.